AGCAGUCGCCGCGGGAAUACGGAGGGGGCUAGCGUUGUUCGGAAUUACUGGGCGUAAAGCGCGCGUAGGUGGUUUGUUAAGUUGGAUGUGAAAUCCCCGGGCUCAACCUGGGAACUGCAUCCAAAACUGGCAGGCUAGAGUAGGGCAGAGGGUGGUGGAAUUUCCUGUGUAGCGGUGAAAUGCGUAGAUAUAGGAAGGAACACCAGUGGCGAAGGCGACCACCUGGGCUCAUACUGACACUGAGGUGCGAAAGCGUGGGGAGCAAACAGGAUUAGAUACCCGCGUAGUCCCUGUCUCUUAUAA
This 303-nucleotide ribosomal RNA is filed under the name uncultured bacterium. RNAcentral describes it as "partial 16S ribosomal RNA". It matches the Rfam family "Bacterial small subunit ribosomal RNA", at positions 507 to 809 of the family's 1533-position model. The record is from RNAcentral.